GAAAUGCGAUAAGUAGUGUGAAUUGCAGAAUUCAGUGAAUCAUCGAAUCUUUGAACGCACAUUGCGCCCUUUGGUAUUCCUUAGGGCAUGCCUGUUCGAGCGUCAUUUAAACCUUCAAGCUCAGCUUGGUGAUGGGUGACUGUCCUCCCCUCGCGGGGGGGACUCGCCUCAAAAACAUUGGCGGCCGGUACAUUGGCUUCGAGCGCAGCAGAAACGCGGUCUCGAGUCCGGUGGAUCGGCGCCCAUAAGCCUUCUUUUUUAUUUUGACCUCGGAUCAGGUAGGGAUACCCGCUGAACUUAAGC
RNAcentral lists this unclassified non-coding RNA (303 nucleotides) under plant metagenome. RNAcentral's name for it is "partial contains 5.8S ribosomal RNA, internal transcribed spacer 2, and large subunit ribosomal RNA". The stretch from base 1 to 105 matches the Rfam family "5.8S ribosomal RNA", at positions 50 to 154 of the family's 154-position model. The record is from RNAcentral.